RNAcentral lists this ribosomal RNA (241 nucleotides) under uncultured bacterium. RNAcentral's name for it is "partial 16S ribosomal RNA". It matches the Rfam family "Bacterial small subunit ribosomal RNA", at positions 29 to 253 of the family's 1533-position model. The record is from RNAcentral.
AACGAACGCUGGCGGCGUGCCUAACACAUGCAAGUCGAACGAGAAAGGGACGUUCGGCUCCGAGUAAAGUGGCGCACGGGUGAGUAACACGUAGGUAACCUGCCUCUAAGAUUGGGAUAACCUGGUCGAAAGACGAGCUAAUACCGAAUAAGACCACAGCUUCCUCAGAAGCAGGGGUCAAAGUAGCCUCUACUUGUAAGCUAUCACUUAGAGAUGGGCCUGCGUACCAUUAGCAGUUGGU